Molecule: ribosomal RNA, 506 nt
Filed under: uncultured bacterium
Lineage: Bacteria
Description: partial 16S ribosomal RNA
Rfam family: Bacterial small subunit ribosomal RNA
Source: RNAcentral
AUUGAACGCUGGCGGUAUGCUUAACACAUGCAAGUCGAACGGUAGCAUGACUUAGCUUGCUAAGUUGAUGACGAGUGGCGAACGGGUGAGUAACGCGUAGGAAUAUGCCUUAAAGUGGGGGACAACUUGGGGAAACUCAAGCUAAUACCGCAUAAUUUCUUAGGAAAAAAGCUGGGGACCUUCGGGCCUGGCGCUUUAAGAUUAGCCUGCGUACGAUUAGCUAGUUGGUAGGGUAAAGGCCUACCAAGGCGACGAUCGUUAGCUGGUCUGGGAGGAUGACCAGCCACACUGGAGCUGAGACACGGUCCAGACUCCUACGGGAGGCAGCAGUGGGGAAUAUUGGACAAUGGGGGCAACCCUGAUCCAGCAAUACCGCGUGUGUGAAGAAGGCCUGAGGGUUGUAAGGCACUUUCAGUGGGGAGGAGAGUAUUUAGGUUAAGAGCUAGAAUACUGGACGUUACCCACAGAAGAAGCACCGGCUAACUCCGUGCCAGCCGCCGCCGUAA